Long non-coding RNA from Hylaeus anthracinus, 2899 nucleotides. RefSeq lists it as uncharacterized. NCBI's taxonomy places the organism in Eukaryota, Metazoa, Arthropoda, Insecta, Hymenoptera, Colletidae. The transcript is spliced from 3 exons. The record is from RefSeq and is a predicted model, not a curated record.
UAUGGAUCAAGCACAGAAAAUAAUUCGCGCAUUAUUUCGAUCUCGAAAGGACCUCUUCAACAGACGAUCGUGUGGAAGAAUCGUAAAUCCCUUGUCGUAAAGCUCGUCUCGAUGAACCAAUCACUUAACGGAGGGAACGUGCGAAAAGCCCAGAACAAACGCUUCGCAGUUAUUGCAUGUCGUACGUACGAGCUAUUAAGUGUUUCGACCUUACGUCGAGUGUCAAGACGAGAACGAACGGGCCGCCAGUAGGUUGGCACGCUACGAUUUGUUCGAAUCUAACGAGUAACAUCCUCAUCCGUGAAUUUACCUUUCAACAGAGCCGUUCUAACACGAUCCGCGAUACCUGACCCCCAGUGGCGCGUCAAACCAUCACGGGAUCAAGACGGAAUUGAAUCUGGAGACACUCGAAGGAGGCCAUUCUUAAAUUCAAUCUCAUUGUGUGUUAAGCAGCGUGACACAGUAACGUCGCGCAACGUUGUGCGUAACCGCGCGGUUCGAUUGAAAUUACUGCAAGGAGCAAGAACGAAGAUUCGAGCACUUGGUGCCACAAAUUGUUGCUUAACCGCUUCGACCUAACGCCGAGUGUCAAGAUGGAGGAGAAGUGACUCGAUCUGGCCACUGGGUUAGCAGGGUACUAUUCGCUUGUACUUAACGACUAACAUCCUCAUCUGUGCAUUGUACCUUCCGAGUUAACCCAAUGAUAGCGUACCCUGUAUAUGAUGCAGAUGUGUAGCUUAUGUAUUUAAACCUGUAAUACGUAUCGUGCGGAGCUCGCUUUAACCGCGCUAACAUUGUACUGCUUCGAACUAACAAAGGAAGCACUCGACCUGCCCUCCCCCGCCCCACUCGCCGAUUUUAACAUACUUUUGCAGGAUGGCAAAUGACAGGUCUCUGUGCGUGAAGCAGUAGGUGGAAUGACUCGAUGAUAGCAGAGAUUUCGCUGCUUCGAACUGACAAGGGAAGCACUCGACUCUCUUAGGUUUUAACCCUUUUGACCGCGAAAUGAUAUUUGGUGGGAAUUGUUGGAGGUGUGAAUUUGGAAAAAAUAUCACUUUAUAGAGAACGAGAAGAUUGCACUCUUUUUUAAUUAAAGUUUUUUUGUAGGACGUUUAGUUUUAGAGAUAAAAAUUGAAAACUUAGAAGAACUUCUUCGAUUCUUACGACGAAUUUUCAACUUCUCAACGUUUCGUCUCAUCAUCCCCCAUAAGCUGAUGUUUUUUCAAAAUUUAUGUAGACUGAAUAUUUCUCUGAGCCCGUUUCUCGAGGACGUAUGCAUGUAUACGUCCUUCGCAGUAAAAAGGUUAAUAAGAAAUCUCAGAAACUACUGAAUCAAUCCCAGAAAGUUUCGUAAGGUUUACGACAUAAAUAUUCAUACAUCACAUUUCACACGAAAUUCACCAUCUUCUUCUCAUCUUAAUUUCUAAUCUAUCUACUCUCCAGCUCCCUAAAUAGCAAAACAAAAUUACUAUUCAAUGUUUACUCCUUCUUUACUCAAGGAAUCUCAAAAGCUACUGACUCAAUUAGCUUGAAUUCUCGAAAACACGAAUAUUUGCUGUCUUAAUAGCAAAACAAAAUGUUUACUCAAUGUCUACUCUUCCUCUACCCAAGGAUCCUCAAAAGCUCCCGACCCAAUGAACUCGAAUCCUCGAAACCAUGAAUGUUUGCUACAAGUUUGACGAGUACACGCAUUACUUGAGCACCUGCUAACGGAUUUCCUAUCGAAAGAUAGAAUUUCCUUCGGAGUCACCGUUACCUCGAACGGGGAUUCCAUCGAUGGCUGACUCAACGAGCAACUCCUACGGGUAGAAAGUAGCCAACGCGUGUACACGUAACGUUCUGUGGGAUAACCCCAGCGUUCUAAUGAACCGUGAGCCUGUGUCUAUCGGCAAGUUACGUGCACAGAGUACUCUCGCAGCCUCGACGGCGUGUGCAUCGAGAGAGAUAGAAGAAAGGAGGACGACCGAAAAUAGAUUUAAUGUUAUGUGAACGGCAGAGAGACACGCCAAGCCGCUGGACAACAUGGGGUCACGAUCGUGGAAGAAACGGAACUCUAUAAUAGAGUUUAUGACAGUAGCGCGGAAGGUAAAUCUUUUAAAUGAUGGAUGUACGUGCGAGGGGUGGAAUUGAAUUCAGCAUUCAUACACAGUACAUUCGUACUGUUAUUUCACAUCUUGCAGUUCUCUUCAGGGUUACUCGAAACGAAGAGGAUUUUAAUUGCAGAACGUACAUGUAAAAACCAAUCAUUUAAAAAUGUUUAAAUUGUUCAAUUUUAUUGUCUUUACUUUCAAUUUCUAGACUUUAAUUGAAAAUUUGAUUCUUUGGGUGAAUUUUCUUUCCAUUUAAUUUGGAUAAUCGAUAAAACGUAAUUGCAAGACUUUGUCAACGAAUCUUGCGUUAAGCCUGGACACCUCUGUUCUUCGUCACAAGAACACCAGCAUCACCAGCUGAGUAAUAGACGUCGCAUGGUGCGCAAGCCAGAUGCGCAGGAAACUAUUUAUCAUCUUCUACCGCAAGGUGCAGAUCGCAGAUGUGUACACCGUUAAGGAGCAAUCGGAUAUUUUAGUAAUCAGUCAAACUAUAUAUAAAAGAUUCAUGACUGUGGACGUUUAUGCAACAGAAAAUGAAUUCGAAUAAAAUACCUAAAUUUCGAUGAAGUUAUAAAAAUAAAUAUAUACAGAUGACAUAUGAGAAGUUCUUUAAAGGGAAAAUAUAAAUUAUCUCUUCGUAUUAGUACACGUUUAAAGUAUAUUCUAAAAUUCUUCCAAAUAAAUCAUUGACAGUGGUUUUCACUGAACACCCAAUAAAAUUAAUUCUGAAAGUUAAGUGCCAAAGAAAAUGAAUUCGAAUAAAAUACUUAAAUUUCGACGAAGCCAAGAAUAAAUAUUUGAUAAUUUAA